UAGAGUUUGAUCCUGGCUCAGAUUGAACGCUGGCGGCAGGCCUAACACAUGCAAGUCGAGCGGUAACAUGUCUAGCUUGCUAGAUGAUGACGAGCGGCGGACGGGUGAGUAAUGCUUGGGGAUCUGCCUUAGAGUGGAGGAUAACCAUUGGAAACGAUGGCUAAUACUGCAUAGUAUCUGCGGAUUAAAGGGGGCUUAGGCUCUUGCUUUAAGAUGAACCCAAGUGGGAUUAGCUAGUUGGUGAGGUAAUGGCUCACCAAGGCGACGAUCCCUAGCUGGUCUGAGAGGAUGAUCAGCCACACUGGAACUGAGACACGGUCCAGACUCCUACGGGAGGCAGCAGUGGGGAAUAUUGCACAAUGGGCGAAAGCCUGAUGCAGCCAUGCCGCGUGUAUGAAGAAGGCCUUCGGGUUGUAAAGUACUUUCAGUUGUGAGGAAGGGUGUGUAGUUAAUAGCUGCGCAUCUUGACGUUAGCAACAGAAGAAGCACCGGCUAACUCCGUGCCAGCAGCCGCGGUAAUACGGAGGGUGCGAGCGUUAAUCGGAAUUACUGGGCGUAAAGCGCAUGCAGGUGGUUCAUUAAGUCAGAUGUGAAAGCCCGGGGCUCAACCUCGGAACUGCAUUUGAAACUGGUGAACUAGAGUACUGUAGAGGGGGGUAGAAUUUCA
RNAcentral lists this ribosomal RNA (667 nucleotides) under uncultured Vibrionaceae bacterium. RNAcentral's name for it is "bacterial SSU rRNA". It matches the Rfam family "Bacterial small subunit ribosomal RNA", at positions 1 to 671 of the family's 1533-position model. Lineage: Bacteria; Pseudomonadati; Pseudomonadota; Gammaproteobacteria; Vibrionales; Vibrionaceae. The record is from RNAcentral.